UUGUUAUGGCAUAAUAGACUAGGGAAUAUACUUUUUGUUAGGAUGAAAGACAUGCCUUCUAUACCAUGUAAAUUUUCCACAAAGCAGCCUUUUCUCUGUACUAUAUGUCCUUUGGCCAGGCAAUCUAGACUACCCUUUCUUGACAGUUCAAUUAAAACAACACAUGCUUUUCAACUAAUCCAUGUUGAUACAUGGGGUCCCUGUGCCACUUCUACUCAUAAUGGUUGUAGAUAUUUUUUAACAAUAGUUGAUGACUUUACCAGAGCUACUUGGACCCACCUUAUGGGGUCCAAGAGUAAUGCCUUUCCUAUCAUUAAAGCCUUCAUUGCCAUGGUUAAAACUUAAUUCCAGUCUGUGGUACAAACCAUUAGGAGUGAUAAUGCAUUUGAACUUGGUUCUAGUGGUGUCGUAGCAACUUCUUUGCUGAACAUGGCAUAAUACAUCAAACUUCUUGCUCUCAAACACCACAACAAAAUGGUGUUGUUGAGAGAAAGCAUAGAUAUCUGCUAGAAACCUCAAGAGCUCCACUCUUUCAUUCUCAGCUACCCAUUAAGUUUUGGGGUGAUUGUGUGCUUACUGCCACCUACCUCAUUAAUAGGUUUCCUUCCAAACUACUUAACAACAAAUUUUAAAACAAGCUCCUCUUACUGCCACCUACCUCAUUAACAGGUUUCCUUCCAAACUACUUAACAACAAAUCCCCUUUUGAAUUGUUGUUUUGCAAGAGUCCAUCCUAUAACCACCAUAAAACAUUUGGUUGCUUAUGUUUUGCCUCAGUCCCUAAACAGAAUAGAGAUAAAUUCCAGCCCAGAGCUGAUCCCUGUGUUUUCCUGGGUUACCCAUUGGCUAAGAAGAGUUACAAGCUGUAUAACUUGAAGUCUAAGCUUACCUUGAUAUCAAGGGAUGUCCUUUUUCAUGAGGAUGUCUUUCCUUUUGCCUCUCCAGGGACUUCUUCCCAUGGCUCCUUUCUCCAUCUCAAUCCUUCUUCUGCCUGGGUUCCUCCUGUUGAUGACUUUCUGCCCAGUCCAUCUUCUUCUUCCUCCCAUCAACCUCUUGCCUCUCCCUCUUCCUCCCCUUCCUCUCCAUCACAUACUUCUUCAGUGCCUUCUUCAUCUGCUCCCAGAAGAUCCAAUAGGGCACAUGUCCUUCCUGCCACCUUCAGCAAUAUGUCUGUAUUCUUCCUCCUUCUCUUUCUGCCCCCAGUUCUUCUUCCACUUGCCUUCACACCUUGGUUAGCAGUCCAGAGUCAGAGCCUACCUCCUACCAGCAGGGUGCUUCCAUUCAUACCUGGAAGGAGGCAAUGGCAAAGGAAUUUGCAGCUUUGGAGGCCAAUCAUACCUGGUCUGUUGUCCCCCUUCCCCCUGGUAAACGACCUAUUGGUUGCAAGUGGGCCUAUAAGAUCAAAUAUAGGGCUGAUGGGUAUGUGGAAAGACAUAUGGCUAGGCUGGUUGUUAGGGGUGACACCUAAGUUGAGGGGAUAGACUUCACUGAGACCUUUUCUCCAGUUGUCAAGUUCUCAAAUAUCAAAUCCCUCAUUGUUGUAGCUGUUAAACAGAAUUGGUCUCUCUUUCAACUUGAUGUGAAUAAUGCAUUCUCACAUGGUGACCUAGCUGAGGAAGUUUAUAUGAAACUGCCUCCUAGACUGGAUGUUGCCUGUUCUACCUCUUCUUCAUCUCCUUUGGUCUGUUUUCAGAAAUCUUUGUAUGGGUUAAGGCAGGCUUCUAGGCAGUGGUAUGCCAAGCUCUCCCAUGCCUUAUGUUCUAAAGGGUUUUCUUCUUCUCUCAAUGACUACUCUAUUUUUCUUAAGAAAUCUGGCUCUUCUAUUGUCUUGUUAGCUGUGUAUGUUGAGGACAUCAUUCUUACUGGUAAUGAUUUGGAGGAAAUCACUGCUUUGAAGACUUUUCUGGAUCAUGAGUUUAAAAUCAAGGAUUUGGGGGUGCUCAACUACUUCCUUGGUAUUGAGGCCAGUUAUCAUUCUGCUGGGCUCCUUCUCCAUCAGAAGAAGUUUGUCACUGACCUUCUCAAAGCCUAUCACUGUGAGGAUAUUUCCCCUGUUACUCGCCCUCUUGACCACUCUGUUAAACUAAAAAUGGAUUUAGGGGAUCCUCUUCCUUCUCCUGAAGUCUAUAGGUGCUUAGUGGGGAAGCUCAAUUUCCUCACCCACACUAGACCUGACUUAGCCUUUGCUGUCCAGCACUUAAGUCAAUAUCUUCAGAAGCAUACCUCCUCUCAUAUGCAUGCAGCCUUACACACACUGAGAUAUCUUAGAGGUACCUCUGACCUUGGCAUCUUUCUCAGCAACACAGCAGACCUCUCCUUAUCUACUUAUUGUGAUAGUGACUGGGCAUCCUGACCAUUGUCCAGCACUUAAGUCAAUAUCUUCAGAAGCAUACCUCCUCUCAUAUGCAUGCAGCCUUACACACACUGAGAUAUCUUAGAGGUACCUCUGACCUUGGCAUUUUUCUCAGCAACACAGCAAACCUCUCCUUAUCUGCUUAUUGUGAUAGUGACUGGGCAUCCUGCCCAGACACCAGAAGGUCUGUCUCUGGUUUUUGUAUAAUGUUAGGUGACUCUCUUAUUGGUUGAAAGGCUAAAAAGCAGCCUGUGGUUUCUUUGUCUUCUGCUGAGGCUGAAUAUAGAGCCAUCAGCAAGGUUGUUGGUGAGCUCACCUGGUUUAUUCGUUUGCUGUCUGAUUUUGGAGUCCCUGUUACCUCCCAUGUCCCUGCCUUCUGUGAUAAUCAAGCAGCACUUCACAUUGCAAAGAAUCCAGUAUUUCAUGAGCGGACCAAACAUAUUGAGGUCGAUUGUCAUUUCAUCAGAGCAAGUUGGAUGAAGGCCUUAUUACUUUGCACCAUGUUUCUACUGCUUCUCAACUUGCGAAUAUAUUUACCAAGCCUCUUACUGGUUCUUUGCAUCAUUCUAUCAUGCUCAAGUUGGGAGUUCAGUCACCCUCCAACUUGCAAGGGGGUGUUGGAGUUAUUGGGCCGCGUCUGUAGCCCAAUUCACUGAAGCAGACACAACAACACAGCAGCCCAAGUCAAGCCAAGUCAAGCCCAUUUGUAAAUAUAUUUAAUUCUGGCCCAAUGGCCCAAUACAAUAUAUAGAAAAUAAUAGUGUAGAUAUUUUGUACAAAUAUACUUUUUCGGAAGCUUCUGAG
RNAcentral lists this long non-coding RNA (3156 nucleotides) under Nicotiana benthamiana. RNAcentral describes it as "long non-coding RNA (NBEN_LNC007558)". The record is from RNAcentral. Lineage: Eukaryota; Viridiplantae; Streptophyta; Magnoliopsida; Solanales; Solanaceae.